GAUUAACGCUGGCGGCGUGCCUAACACAUGCAAGUCGAGCGGCAGCGAGUGUGUCACUGAAUUCUGGAAGCUUCUAGUGGUAAGAGAAGAUUUAGUGAAGAAUUUUGUGUGAAUAGUCGGCUAGCUGCGGACGGCUGAGUAACGCGUGGGAACGUAUGUCAUAGUGAGGGAUAACGCAUCGAAAGGGUGGCUUUGUUCGCAUAUGGGUGUGGUUGUAAAGCCUUCGGGCGCGUUGGGAACGGCCUGCGUAAGAUUAGAUAGUUGGUGGGGUAAUGGCCUACCAAGUCGACGAUCUUUAACUGGUUUGAGAGGAUGAUCAGUCAGACUGGAACUGACACACGGUCCACACACCUACGGGAGGCAGCAGUGAGGAAUCUUCCACAAUGGGCGAACACCUGAUGGAGCAACGCCGCGUGCAGGAUGAAGGCCUUCGGGUUAAAAAAUGCUUUUAUAAGUGAGGAUUAUGACAGUAACUUAUGAAUAAGGAUCGGCUAACUACGUG
Molecule: ribosomal RNA, 502 nt
Filed under: uncultured bacterium
Lineage: Bacteria
Description: partial 16S ribosomal RNA
Rfam family: Bacterial small subunit ribosomal RNA
Source: RNAcentral